GAGUUUGAUCGUGGCUCAGAUUGAACGCUGGCGGCAUGCCUUACACAUGCAAGUCGAACGGCAGCAUGAUCUAGCUUGCUAGAUUGAUGGCGAGUGGCGAACGGGUGAGUAAUACAUCGGAACGUGCCCUGUAGUGGGGGAUAACUAGUCGAAAGAUUAGCUAAUACCGCAUACGACCUGAGGGUGAAAGUGGGGGACCGCAAGGCCUCAUGCUAUAGGAGCGGCCGAUGUCUGAUUAGCUAGUUGGUGGGGUAAAGGCCCACCAAGGCGACGAUCAGUAGCUGGUCUGAGAGGACGAUCAGCCACACUGGGACUGAGACACGGCCCAGACUCCUACGGGAGGCAGCAGUGGGGAAUUUUGGACAAUUGGCGAAAGCCUGAUCCAGCAAUGCCGCGUGUGUGAAGAAGGCCU
Molecule: ribosomal RNA, 412 nt
Filed under: uncultured microorganism
Description: bacterial SSU rRNA
Rfam family: Bacterial small subunit ribosomal RNA
Source: RNAcentral